Molecule: long non-coding RNA, 2020 nt
Organism: Vicia villosa (hairy vetch)
Lineage: Eukaryota; Viridiplantae; Streptophyta; Magnoliopsida; Fabales; Fabaceae
Exons: 4
Source: RefSeq, a predicted model, not a curated record
GAUAUUUCACACCUCACAAAGUUUCUUUAAUAUUUCCUUUUCAUCUCCAUCUCCCCCACGUCCUCAUUCUCUCUACUUUCCACUUUGCCUCCCACACUUGCUUAUUCACUGAAGAAAAAACAAAAAAUUCACAGAAUCGUUAACCCAACAAUUUGCAAUCGUAUAAGCUUUAUCGUUCGUUCCUUCUAAGCCUUUCGCAAUUUGUAAUCGUUCGUUUCAAGCCUUCUCCCAAGUGUUGGACGUGGUGUUACUAGCUAACAAUCAUAUAAGCUUUAAAGUUUCUAUUAAUACUCUUUCUGUCUCCGGCGACGGUGGAGUUUAGGUCUUUUCUCUCGGAUGGAUGCAAAAUAAGAUAGCUCGAGUUGAACUGAUACAAUGAAUUGACAUUGGCCUUGAAGUGUUUUGGCUUGCUCUUUACUUUGUUGCUAUAGCCACUCUUGCUGCACUUGUUGGGCAACAUUUGGUGAUCGUCUCUCUUUUGGGGUAGCUAUCAUUCUGUCUACUAUAACCUCCCUUUUUGUUGAUAGUGAGUUGUAUUUAUUUUGUUCUGUAAGUAUUUCUCUAGUCCUCUUAAAAUAUGUUUUCUUUUACUAUUUCAAUAAUAUUAAUAAGACCCGAAAAUGUAUUUAUCAAUGGAUGUAGUUAAAACUCUAAUUCAGAAAAAUUGCAAAUUCUACACGGAGAUAAAAAUUUAUCUUUAAAAUCAGAUUUUCUUUAAUAUUUAGAAUAAUAUAAUUAUAUUGUUUUUAUUAUAUAUGUUGCUAUUUGCGUUGUGAAAGUUACAUGGUAUCUCAAAAUAUUUGCCACGUGAAAUUCACCUGGAAAGUUUUUGAAUAUUCAAAUAUUGCUAGGUGAAACUCACCCCGCAAGUCACUUAACAUACAACUGUACCCUGCUCUGAACUAACUGUGCACAUGGAAUGAAGUUGUCUGCAAGUCUUGAAAAGCGUGUUUGCGGGGUGCUUUUUAUCUGGAAACGUUGCGGGGUGAAAAUCACCUGGCAAAGUUGCGGGGUGCUAAUCCCCUUGCAAAAAGUUACGACUAACGUUUUUGCAAGGUGAGAGUGUCACCUCGCAAGUGUUACGUUGCAGGGUGAUAUUUGUCUUUGCGGGGUGGUUUGCACCUGGCAAACAUGAGUUUUUUUGUAGUGCUUUGAAUGCGAAUAAAUUUCUUUAUAAAUGAAAAUGGUGUUUCAAACGUACAUUUCUCAUAUACUCGUUUCUCAACACGCUUAGAUACUUUGAGUAAUUUGAGUACACUACAAUGUUGAACACACAGAAAACUUAAUACUAAGACCCCUAUUUAUACUAAUUCAACUAUAAUGGUCAUCUGUUCAGAAGAUGGCACGUUUAUGUCUGCAUGCACUUCGUCUCUUACAAGUCUCCACACGUCCUUUAUAAUGAACGGAUAAGGCCAAAAUACAGUUUCUGGCCAAUUUCGAAUGUUUCUGUGUCGGACUCCAAGUCAAAUAGAUUCAAAUCUUUUAAGUCUCAAAUAGAACAUGAGCUUGCCAUCAUGGCCAAUUCUUAGCUUAUUUCUUGUCCAAAGCAUCCAAAUGCUCUGCCGAAGUCAGUUUCUUCUACAAAAUAUUUUCUUUUACUCUCUUGGCAUCUCUUCCUUAGUGAGUGUCGAAUUUGUAGCUAAUAAAUUGUCCCCCAAAAAAGUCUUUUUCGACCAUAUGGAGAAACGAAUAUUUUUUUAGAGUCUUCGACGCGACUGUCCAUUCACUACUGUGGUCAUUAUGACCACUUUUCCAAAACAUCUCAUCGAGACAUGAGACUAUGUAUUGUGAUGGAAAAUUUGCGUUUCACGAAAGAAGCAAGCACGUUGAGUUAGAUUGUCAUGUGGUUCACGAAAAGAUCACCUCCAACUUAAUACACUUGCUUCCCAUUUCUUCUUCAGCCCAGUUAGCUGAUGCUUUCACAAAGCCACUGCAUUCUCCAACCUUUUCCACAAUUAUGACCAAGUUAGACCUUUGUAGCUUACACAACCCAACUUGAGGGAGCAUAUUAGAACUAUAC